ACUAAAAUCCGUUGGCUUUUUAGACCGUGAGGGUUCAAGUCCCUCUACCCCUA
Molecule: transfer RNA, 53 nt
Filed under: Syzygiella integerrima
Lineage: Eukaryota; Viridiplantae; Streptophyta; Jungermanniopsida; Jungermanniales; Adelanthaceae
Description: partial tRNA-Leu
Source: RNAcentral